CCUACGGGUGGCUGCAGUGGGGAAUUUUGCGCAAUGGGGGAAACCCUGACGCAGCAACGCCGCGUGGGUGAUGAAGGCCCUUGGGUCGUAAAGCCCUGUCGGGUGGGAAGAAUCCCUUGGCGGCGAAUAGUCGCCAAGGAUGACGGUACCACUAGAGGAAGCACCGGCUAACUCUGUGCCAGCAGCCGCGGUAAUACAGAGGGUGCAAGCGUUGUUCGGAAUCACUGGGCGUAAAGCGCGUGUAGGCGGCGAAAGCCCUCGGCUUAACCGAGGAAGUGAACUCGAAACUGGUCGGCUUGAGUACCGGAGAGGAAGGUGGAAUUCCCGGUGUAGAGGUGAAAUUCGUAGAUAUCGGGAGGAACACCAGUGGCGAAAGCGACCUUCUGGACGGAUACUGACGCUGAGACGCGAAAGCGUGGGGAGCAAACAGGAUUAGAUACCCGAGUAGUC
This 450-nucleotide ribosomal RNA is filed under the name uncultured bacterium. RNAcentral describes it as "partial 16S ribosomal RNA". It matches the Rfam family "Bacterial small subunit ribosomal RNA", at positions 338 to 795 of the family's 1533-position model. The record is from RNAcentral.